GGCAGUGUGGCCUAGUGGUUAGGGCACCAGGCUAGGAUGCAGCAGGGGUGGGUUCUAGUCCCAGCUCUGCCC
This 72-nucleotide transfer RNA is filed under the name Chelonia mydas (Green sea turtle). It matches the Rfam family "tRNA". Rfam says of the family: Transfer RNA (tRNA) molecules are approximately 80 nucleotides in length. Their secondary structure includes four short double-helical elements and three loops (D, anti-codon, and T loops). The record is from Rfam by way of RNAcentral. Lineage: Eukaryota; Metazoa; Chordata; Testudines; Cheloniidae.